Long non-coding RNA from Priapulus caudatus, 410 nucleotides. RefSeq lists it as uncharacterized. The transcript has 3 exons. The record is from RefSeq and is a predicted model, not a curated record. Lineage: Eukaryota; Metazoa; Priapulida; Priapulimorpha; Priapulimorphida; Priapulidae.
GGAGCGACAUAGGUAGGACACAGAAACCACGAGCGAUAGAUCAAAAGCAAACUGCGACGGACAAGCAACAAGAAAGCGAAUCGACGGAGAAGCAGAAGCAGAAGCAGUACAAGUCUGCUCUGUGUAUGCAGCCGAAGGGUGCCAACCCUGCACUGAGGCAUGGGCCUGAUGCCUCCUUACUGCUGGACGAGUACGUCAGCGUGUCCGACCGGACCCGGCUCGCGGAAGGGCUCGGACCCGCAGCUGGUGCGGGGUCCCGUGCCUGACAACGUGCGUGGCCCACGAGAGAGGACGCACUGCCCGGCGUGGCCCUGCGCUCGCCUCGUCGCCUGAACACCAUGAGAGAUAUAGAGAGAGGUAGAGAGAGAGCUAGAGCGAUGAGAGAGGUAGAAGAGAGUGGGAGAGUAGAG